GACGAACGCUGGCGGCGUGCUUAACACAUGCAAGUCGAACGGAAAGGCCCUGCUUUUGUGGGGUGCUCGAGUGGCGAACGGGUGAGUAACACGUGAGUAACCUGCCCUUGACUUUGGGAUAACUUCAGGAAACUGGGGCUAAUACCGGAUAGGAGCUCCUGCUGCAUGGUGGGGGUUGGAAAGUUUCGGCGGUUGGGGAUGGACUCGCGGCUUAUCAGCUUGUUGGUGGGGUAGUGGCUUACCAAGGCUUUGACGGGUAGCCGGCCUGAGAGGGUGACCGGCCACAUUGGAACUGAGAGACGGCCCAGACUCCUACGGGAGGAAGCAGUGGGGAAUAUUGCACAAUGGGCGGAAGCCUGAUGCAGCAACGCCGCGUGCGGGAUGACGGCCUUCGGGUAGUAAACCGCUUUCGCCUGUGACGAAGCGUGAGUGACGGUAAUGGGUAAAGAAACACCGGCUAACUACGU
This 467-nucleotide ribosomal RNA is filed under the name uncultured bacterium. Its description in RNAcentral is "partial 16S ribosomal RNA". It matches the Rfam family "Bacterial small subunit ribosomal RNA", at positions 28 to 506 of the family's 1533-position model. The record is from RNAcentral.